AAGUCGUAACAAGGUCUCCGUAGGUGAACCUGCGGAGGGAUCAUUACAGAGCUCAUGCCUCACAGGCGGUAAGAGUCUCCCCACCCCUAUGUUAUCAUUACCAUGUUGCUUUGGCGGGCCGGUCAGGCUCACGCUCGGCUACCGGCUCUGGCUGGUAAGCGCCCGCCAGAGGACCUCAAACCCUGAAUAUUCGUGUCGUCUGAGUACCAUAUAAUAGUUAAAA
This 223-nucleotide unclassified non-coding RNA is filed under the name plant metagenome. RNAcentral describes it as "partial contains small subunit ribosomal RNA and internal transcribed spacer 1". The stretch from base 1 to 46 matches the Rfam family "Eukaryotic small subunit ribosomal RNA", at positions 1786 to 1831 of the family's 1831-position model. The record is from RNAcentral.